GGACUACCAGGGUAUCUAAUCCCGUUCGCUCCCCUAGCUUUCGCGCCUCAGCGUCAGAAGAGGUCCAGUACGUCGCUUUCGCCACCGGCGUUCCUUCCGAUAUCAACGCAUUUCACCGCUCCACCGGAAGUUCCACAUACCCCUACCUCCCUCAAGACCGCCAGUAUCCGAGGCACUUUUCCGGUUGAGCCGAAAGAUUUCACCCCGGACUUGGCAGCCCGCCUACGCGCCCUUUAAGCCCAGUGAUUCCGAACAACGUUCGCACGGUUCGUCUUACCGCGGCUGCUGGCAC
RNAcentral lists this ribosomal RNA (292 nucleotides) under uncultured Planctomycetota bacterium. RNAcentral's name for it is "uncultured planctomycete partial 16S ribosomal RNA". The record is from RNAcentral. Lineage: Bacteria; Pseudomonadati; Planctomycetota.